AGCAGCUCUGUCAAAUUCAGUGCCUAUCCCACCAUGGCAGGCACUGGCCCAAAAGGCUGCCACAGUAAUGCUGUGACUCAUGGGCUCUGAUCCCCUCUUCUGGGCCUCAGAGAUAAAUUUGGUUACAGACACCA
This 134-nucleotide small nucleolar RNA is filed under the name Erinaceus europaeus (western European hedgehog). Its description in RNAcentral is "Small nucleolar RNA SNORA5". It matches the Rfam family "Small nucleolar RNA SNORA5". From Rfam's summary of the family: ACA5 is a member of the H/ACA class of snoRNA that guide the sites of modification of uridines to pseudouridines. The record is from Rfam by way of RNAcentral. Lineage: Eukaryota; Metazoa; Chordata; Mammalia; Eulipotyphla; Erinaceidae.